UCUCCUAUUGGCCGGCCCCUGUCAUGUGGAGGGGGAGGCAAGUCGGCGCCCCUGCCUGCCUCACAUGACGGGGCACCCCCACCCCCUCCAACGCGCCACGCAUGCGCAGAACACCUGCAAGAGACACGGACGCAGGUGCCAUUUUUAAACCUGCACCAGUGAUGACAAUAGAGGACUGGUAGCCUGGAGCCCUCUUACUGCUGCUCAGAGUUUGAAAUGAACAGUUACAGCAGCAAAUGAAGAAAGUUGUCCCAUCUUUAAGUACUUUGAGAGGAUAAAUGACAAUCUGCUGGAAGGCAGUUGGAAGUUGAAAGGCAAGUCUGCCUCAAACAGAGAGAAGAAGCUCCUUACCCCUAGGAAGAUGUUUUUGGAGGAGUCAAAGCCAGCAGCAUAUAUUCUUGCUGUGAAAGGAGGAUUUCGUUC
Molecule: long non-coding RNA, 423 nt
Organism: Hemicordylus capensis (graceful crag lizard)
Lineage: Eukaryota; Metazoa; Chordata; Lepidosauria; Squamata; Cordylidae
Exons: 3
Source: RefSeq, a predicted model, not a curated record